UACGGAGGGGGCGAGCGUUGUUCGGAGUCACUGGGCGUAAAGCGCACGUAGGCGGUGCGGUAAGUCUGGGGUCAAAGGCUACGGCUCAACCGUAGUAAGGCCUCAGAUACUAUCGUGCUAGAGUGCCGGAGAGGGUAGCGGAAUUCCCUGUGUAGCGGUGAAAUGCGUAGAUAUAGGGAGGAACACCGGUUGCGAAGGCGGCUACCUGGCCGGUAACUGACACUGAGGUGCGAGAGCGUGGGGAGCAAACAGG
This 253-nucleotide ribosomal RNA is filed under the name uncultured microorganism. Its description in RNAcentral is "partial 16S ribosomal RNA". It matches the Rfam family "Bacterial small subunit ribosomal RNA", at positions 524 to 776 of the family's 1533-position model. The record is from RNAcentral.